GAAUAUCUCAUAACACUACUUUUUAAUUUUUGACGGAAUCAAUUUUCUAUGCCGAUUAACACAGCAUUAAAAAAUUAUGGAACAAAAAAAGGAACUUUCUUAUUGGAAAUGCAAAUCUUAAAUGCUAUCCUACCAAAUUCUGUAAUAGUGACAUUAAAAAAUUCACGAGCAUGCCCUUAAAAUCAAAUGCUUACGUGGUUUGUGUUUUUAAAGUAAAUCUUGUCAUUUUCUACCCAUGAGUAAUUAAUUCUUAGCGUUUCGUCGAUUUCUUCAAUCUCCCCCCAUAUCGAAGGUGCAUUUGCAUUCAUCCUAGACCUGUAAACUAAGAAAAAGAAAUAACGGUUUGUAGAAAAUUGCUGUUGCCGGGAACUUAGAUAGUAAUUUCCCGGGUAAAAACCCCAAUGUUUUCGGGAGUCUCAACUUCAAUUUACCUCUGUCGAACACUGAUUAAUGGCCGUUCCAAGAACAGGAUGUCAAUAGUCGUGCUGGAUAUUUCGAAAAUGUCUUACAACCUGUGCAUUAAGGAAUUCUUCGGAAAGGCGAAGGAAGAGUGGCCAUGCUUAUAAAGGAAGAAUAGGUCCCGAUCUGGUGUUGGCUGAGAAACUAUGGACUUGGAUUUGUUAAAGAAAUUUUCUCAAAUUAAACAGUUCCAAAAUUAGCGCGAGGAGAAAACUAUCUGAAAAUCAUAGGGGAUUGUCGGUGUUCGUGUGAAUUUUUGGGGGAUUCCAAUUUUCCGAAAUCUUGUGCUAUGCAUAACACGAGAAAAAAAAGGAAACUGCUUAGAGUGAAACAAGGCAUUUAUGUAUGUGCAUAGAAUGCUCAAAUGGAUUGCCAUUUGUCUUAUUCGAAGGUUAAUCUUCUUUUUUUUUACCAUCUUGUGUUAUGAAAUGCGUACCAGAAGGAAAAGGCUGGACUCGAGUUGAAUCAAACAACCAACCUAAAGGAAACGAAGAAGUAAGCAAUAUUCCCCAUCAACGAUGUCUUUUUACUUCAUUUGGAUCUCAUGUGAUCUAUGUAAUGAUCUAUGUAAUGAACAUCAUGACGAAUCAAGGUGAUAAUCUUAUCGUCGCUUACGAAGCCACGAAUGAAACCAACCAUAAACUCGUUCGAAGAUUUGGCCGCAGAUAAAGAAGUUUCGAUACUUCUUAGGCAUGACACGGUGAUGGGAGAACAAAUAUUGAAAGCGACCUCUGGUGUUUAUAAUCUUGGAAUCUUGGAGACCAAGGCCGUAGAAACUCUGAUCGUUAUUGUUGGCGAUCCGUUGAAGUUAAACGCGAUGUUGGAAACCGGCCGAUAUGCUUAUCCGUCUCUUUCAACAUCUGGACUUGGAAUGCUGACGUUUUUGUUGGAACAGAUAUAUUAAAACUACGAAAAGCACAAACAUCGUUAGCUUCCGCUAAUAAU
Molecule: small RNA, 1404 nt
Filed under: Daphnia magna
Lineage: Eukaryota; Metazoa; Arthropoda; Branchiopoda; Diplostraca; Daphniidae
Description: uncharacterized LOC116933551, transcript variant X12
Source: RNAcentral